ACCAUUAACCAGAGUUAGGCAUUGCAAAGAACACAUAUACUUUCCGUGUUUUUAAUAGAUGAGUUUGUUGCAAAAUCAGUAUAACCAAUUACAACAAAAUACAUAACCUUGAAUAGUGGUAGUCAUCAAUUUCUCAUCGCCACUCAAUUUCGUUUGAAAUGGCUGUUUCCUUCACGUUAUUCAUCACUUUUGGUCUUCUAAUUUUGGCGCAAUUGAAUAGUAUCAGUGCCACUACAUUAUCAAGAGCAAAAAUCGAAACGUGCGGGGGUUGUAAACUGAAUCGGUUACCUGAAUUAAAGGCAUUCAUCCAUGAGGAUUUUGUAAAUUACGAAAACACAGAAUUGAAACUAAUACCGGGGGCGUCUCCCGAGUUGAUAUUUUUUGACAAGCACGAUGUGGAGGUGAAAAGGAUUAAUUUGGAAGGGUACAAUAGGGAGGAAUGUAACGCGUUGCUUGAAGAUCACAAAUUUCAACGUAAACAGAAACAUGACUUAUAGGUAGUUUGUGGCCUGACCACAUCCUUACCCCACUACAAAUCGGGUGCGAGUAGUAAAUGUCUCACAUAGUUCUUUUUAUACGCACUUUAUGUAAAAAUUUUAAAAUAAAAUUCCACUCUAAUUGCA
Molecule: long non-coding RNA, 623 nt
Organism: Photinus pyralis (common eastern firefly)
Lineage: Eukaryota; Metazoa; Arthropoda; Insecta; Coleoptera; Lampyridae
Exons: 2
Source: RefSeq, a predicted model, not a curated record